Molecule: ribosomal RNA, 510 nt
Filed under: uncultured cyanobacterium
Lineage: Bacteria; Bacillati; Cyanobacteriota
Description: bacterial SSU rRNA
Rfam family: Bacterial small subunit ribosomal RNA
Source: RNAcentral
UAGAGUUUGAUCUGGCUCAGGAUGAACGCUGGCGGUAUGCUUAACACAUGCAAGUCGAACGGUCUCUUCGGAGAUAGUGGCGGACGGGUGAGUAACGCGUAAGAAUCUACCUUCAGGUUGGGGACAACCACUGGAAACGGUGGCUAAUACCGAAUGUGCCGAGAGGUGAAAGGCUUGCUGCCUGAAGAAGAGCUUGCGUCUGAUUAGCUAGUUGGUGGGGUAAAGGCCUACCAAGGCGACGAUCAGUAGCUGGUCUGAGAGGAUGAUCAGCCACACUGGGACUGAGACACGGCCCAGACUCCUACGGGAGGCAGCAGUAGGGAAUUUUGCACAAUGGGCGCAAGCCUGAUGCAGCAACGCCGCGUGAGUGAAGAAGGCUCUUGGGUUGUAAAGCUCUUUCGGCUGGAAAGAAGGGGCUGCCUGCGAAUAGUUGGCAGCUCUGACGGUACCAGAAGAAGAAGCCCUGCUAACUUCGUGCCAGCAGCAGCGGUAAUACGAAGGGUGCAAGCG